GAUGAACGCUGGCGGCGUGCCUAAUACAUGCAAGUCGAGCGAACAGACGAGGAGCUUGCUCCUCUGACGUUAGCGGCGGACGGGUGAGUAACACGUGGAUAACCUACCUAUAAGACUGGGAUAACUUCGGGAGACCGGAGCUAAUACCGGAUAAUAUGUUCAACUGCCUGGUUCAAUAGUGAUAGACGCUUUUGCUGUCACUUAUAGCUGGAUCCGCGACGCAUUAGCUAGUUGGUAAGGUAACGGCUUACCAAGGCGACGAUGCGUAGCCGACCUGAGAGGGUGAUCGGCCACACUGGAACUGAGACACGGUCCAGACUCCUACGGGAGGCAGCAGUAGGGAAUCUUCCGCAAUGGGCGAAAGCCUGACGGAGCAACGCCGCGUGAGUGAUGAAGGUCUUCGGAUCGUAAAACUCUGUUAUUAGGGAAGAACAAAUGUGUAAGUAACUAUGCACGUCUUGACGGUACCUAAUCAGAAAGCCACGGCUAACUACGUG
Molecule: ribosomal RNA, 497 nt
Filed under: uncultured bacterium
Lineage: Bacteria
Description: partial 16S ribosomal RNA
Rfam family: Bacterial small subunit ribosomal RNA
Source: RNAcentral